AUUGCUCCACUACAAGAUGGACCUGCGUUGUAUUAGCUAGUAGGUGAGGUAAUGGCUCACCUAGGCGACGAUACAUAGCCGACCUGAGAGGGUGAUCGGCCACACUGGGACUGAGACACGGCCCAGACUCCUACGGGAGGCAGCAUG
RNAcentral lists this ribosomal RNA (147 nucleotides) under uncultured bacterium. RNAcentral's name for it is "partial 16S ribosomal RNA". It matches the Rfam family "Bacterial small subunit ribosomal RNA", at positions 209 to 353 of the family's 1533-position model. The record is from RNAcentral.